This is a long non-coding RNA of Sorex fumeus (smoky shrew), 629 nucleotides long. RefSeq lists it as uncharacterized. Lineage: Eukaryota; Metazoa; Chordata; Mammalia; Eulipotyphla; Soricidae. The record is from RefSeq and is a predicted model, not a curated record. The transcript has 4 exons.
CGGCCGGAGCUAACGCGUGCAGUGGCCGCCGGCAGAGCACCUGGGCCGAGUCUGUGUGCCGAUCUCCGGGCUCUUGGUGUUUUGUCCCCUUAGCUAUAAUCUUUCUGCCGGGACCCCGACCUCGUGCGGAGCCCAUGUACGUCCCAGGCUUCGGGGGCUCCCGGGGUCUUCACUGCGAUGGCGCCUGCCCCACGCCCGAGUGGCCGCGGGGACGGGGGGGAGGGGUGGUGCCGACCGCAGCCCUCCCCCCCACCCUGUUGGCGCGGCUCCAACCUCUUCUGGUUUAAGUUGCGUUUUUGUGAGACGAAGCCUGUCAUCAUGAAGAUACAUAGAAGUUAUCAUGAUAAAUACUUGGCAUAGAGGAUUGCUGGGAACCACAUAGCACACAACUGCAUAUGAGGUAACUGCUGGUGAAUGAUCCAAGAAUUUAGCUGUGAGUUUGAAAAACAGUCAUUAUCUCAGGUACUACAUGCAACAUUUUGGAAGGGAAAACUGAAGACAACGUGAAACAAAAGAUAAAAAUGUUUGAUUAUCACCUUGGAAUGUGUAAAUGUAUAAAUUAUUUUUAUAACAAAAAUACAUAAUAUGAAUUUUUUGAUACUAUGAAAUAAAAUUUUCUCUGAAGUGCA